UUUCAUGAUGAUUUACACAGACCUGUACUGAAACAAAUGAGGAAAUGUGAUUACUGAAAAUGCUCUUUUCAUUAACA
This 77-nucleotide small nucleolar RNA is filed under the name Ciona intestinalis (vase tunicate). Its description in RNAcentral is "Small nucleolar RNA snR56 (ENSCING00000017844.1)". Lineage: Eukaryota; Metazoa; Chordata; Ascidiacea; Phlebobranchia; Cionidae. The record is from RNAcentral.